GGGAGUGGAUAAAAAAGUAACAAGGUUUCCGUAGGUGAACCUGCGGAAGGAUCAUUACCGAGUGUAGGGUUCCUAGCGAGCCCAACCUCCCACCCGUGUUUACUGUACCUUAGUUGCUUCGGCGGGCCCGCCAUUCAUGGCCGCCGGGGGCUCUCAGCCCCGGGCCCGCGCCCGCCGGAGACACCACGAACUCUGUCUGAUCUAGUGAAGUCUGAGUUGAUUGUAUCGCAAUCAGUUAAAACUUUCAACAAUGGAUCUCUUGGUUCCGGCAUCGAUGAAGAACGCAGCGAAAUGCGAUAACUAGUGUGAAUUGCAGAAUUCCGUGAAUCAUCGAGUCUUUGAACGCACAUUGCGCCCCCUGGUAUUCCGGGGGGCAUGCCUGUCCGAGCGUCAUUGCUGCCCAUCAAGCACGGCUUGUGUGUUGGGUCGUCGUCCCCUCUCCGGGGGGGACGGGCCCCAAAGGCAGCGGCGGCACCGCGUCCGAUCCUCGAGCGUAUGGGGCUUUGUCACCCGCUCUGUAGGCCCGGCCGGCGCUUGCCGAACGCAAAUCAAUCUUUCCAGGUGACCUCGGAUGCAAGACGUACCACCCCG
Molecule: ribosomal RNA, 591 nt
Filed under: Aspergillus sp.
Lineage: Eukaryota; Fungi; Ascomycota; Eurotiomycetes; Eurotiales; Aspergillaceae
Description: eukaryotic LSU rRNA
Rfam family: 5.8S ribosomal RNA (bases 240-393)
Source: RNAcentral